UGAGUAACGCGUGGGUAAUCUGCCUCCGAAUCGGGGAUAACAUUGCGAAAGCGAUGCUAAUACCGGAUAAAAUCUGGUUGGCUUAGGUGAACCGGAUCAAAGGUGGUCUCUUUAUAAAAGCUACCGUCUGGAGAUGAGCUCGCGUACCAUUAGCUAGUUGGUGAGGUAAAGGCUCACCAAGGCGACGAUGGUUAGCUGGUCUGAGAGGAUGAUCAGCCACACCGGAACUGGAACACGGUCCGGACUCCUACGGGAGGCAGCAGUGAGGAAUUUUGCGCAAUGGGGGAAACCCUGACGCAGCAACGCCGCGUGAGUGAUGGAGGCUUUCGGGUCGUAAAGCUCUGUCAGGUGGGAAGAACCCACCAAGUGUUAAGACCACUUGGUGCUGACGGUACCACCGAAGGAAGCACCGGCUAACUCCGUGCCAGCAGCCGCGGUAAUACGGGGGGUGCGAGCGUUAUUCGGAAUCAUUGGGCGUAAAGGGCGCGCAGGCGGUUUUGUAAGUCAGAUGUGAAAUCCCGGGGCUUAACCCCGGAAGUGCAUAUGAAACUAUGAGACUUGAGUAUGGGAGAGGGAAGCGGAAUUCCUGGUGUAGCGGUGAAAUGCGUAGAUAUCAGGAGGAACACCGGUGGCGAAGGCGGCUUCCUGGACCAAUACUGACGCUGAGGCGCGAAGGCGUGGGGAGCGAACAGGAUUAGAUACCCUGGUAGUCCACGCAGUAAACGUUGAUCACUAGGUGUAGCGGGUAUUGACCCCUGCUGUGCCGGAGUUAACGCAUUAAGUGAUCCGCCUGGGGAGUACGAUCGCAAGAUUAAAACUCAAAGGAAUUGACGGUGGCCCGCACAAGCGGUGGAGUAUGUGGUUUAAUUCGAUGCAACGCGAAGAACCUUACCUGGACUUGACAUCCUGUGAAUCCCGUAGAGAUACGGGAGUGCCCUUCGGGGAACGCAGUGACAGGUGCUGCAUGGCUGUCGUCAGCUCGUGCCGUGAGGUGUUGGGUUAAGUCCCGCAACGAGCGCAACCCCUAUCCUUAGUUGCCAGCACAUGAUGGUGGGCACUCUGGGGAGACUGCCCGGGUUAACCGGGAGGAAGGUGGGGACGACGUCAAGUCAUCAUGGCCCUUACGUCCAGGGCUACACACGUACUACAAUGGUGAACACAAAGGGUUGCAAGACCGCGAGGUGGAGCUAAUCCCAGAAAAUUCAUCAUAGUCCGGAUUGCAGUCUGCAACUCGACUGCAUGAAGCUGGAAUCGCUAGUAAUCCCGGAUCAGCAUGCCGGGGUGAUACGUUCCCGGGCAUUGUACACACCGCCCGUCACACCACGAAAGUCGGUUCUACCCGAAGCCGUCGG
This 1352-nucleotide ribosomal RNA is filed under the name uncultured organism. RNAcentral's name for it is "bacterial SSU rRNA". It matches the Rfam family "Bacterial small subunit ribosomal RNA", at positions 107 to 1433 of the family's 1533-position model. The record is from RNAcentral.